Molecule: non-coding RNA, 950 nt
Filed under: Bodianus oxycephalus
Lineage: Eukaryota; Metazoa; Chordata; Actinopteri; Labriformes; Labridae
Description: 12S ribosomal RNA
Rfam family: Bacterial small subunit ribosomal RNA
Source: RNAcentral
CAAAGGCUUAGUCCUGACUUUAUUAUCAGCUUUAGCUAGACUUACACAUGCAAGUAUCCGCACCCCCGUGAAAAUGCCCUACAGUUCCCUGCUCGGGAACAAGGAGCCGGUAUCAGGCACAACACAUCAAGCCCACGACGCCUUGCUUAGCCACACCCCCAAGGGAAUUCAGCAGUGAUAGACAUUAAGCCAUGAGUGAAAACUUGACUUAGUUAAAGCUAAGUAGGGCCGGUAAAACUCGUGCCAGCCACCGCGGUUAUACGAGAGGCCCGAGUUGAUAAGCACCGGCGUAAAGAGUGGUUAAGGACAGAUCAAAACUAAAGCCAAAUGCCUUCAAAGCUGUUAUACGCACCCGAAAGCCAGAGACUCAACCACGAAAGUGACUUUAUAACACCUGAACCCACGAAAGCUAUGAUACAAACUGGGAUUAGAUACCCCACUAUGCUUAGCCCUAAACAUUGAUAAUGCACUACAAUCAUUAUCCGCCUGGGUACUACGAGCAUCAGCUUAAAACCCAAAGGACUUGGCGGUGCUUUAGAUCCACCUAGAGGAGCCUGUUCUAGAACCGAUAAUCCCCGUUAAACCUCACCUCUCCUUGUUCCCCCCGCCUAUAUACCGCCGUCGUCAGCUUACCCUGUGAAGGGUCAAUAGUAAGCAAAAUUGGCACAGCCCAAAACGUCAGGUCGAGGUGUAGCGUAUGAAGAGGGAAGAAAUGGGCUACAUUCAGUGUACCACUGAACACGAAAGGUGGCCUGAAAACGCCUACCCGAAGGAGGAUUUAGCAGUAAGCGGGAAAUAGAGUGUCCCGCUGAAACCGGCCCUGAAGCGCGUACACACCGCCCGUCACUCUCCCCGAUUAAGCCACAAUAAUGAUACCUAAAAUACAACUAUAAAGAAGGGGAGGCAAGUCGUAACAUGGUAAGUGUACCGGAAGGUGCACUUGGAAAAAU